AAAUAUGAAACUCUGAAAUAUAACAAUUUUGGCCAAACCCGCAUGUUGUUUACUAGGAUUUUAAAACCAUAUGUGUAGGCAGGGUGUGGUGGGUCACGUCUAUAAUUUAGCCAGCACUUUGGGAGGCCAAGGCCAGAGGAUUGCUUGAGCCCAGGAGUUCAAGACCAGCCUGGGCAACGUGGCAAAACCCCAUCUCUACAAAAAAUAUAAAAAUUAGUUGGGUGUGGUGGCAUACACCUGUAGUCCCAGCUACUCAGGAGGCUGAGAUGAGAGGAUCGCUUGUGUCUGAGAGGUCAAGGCUGCAGCAAGCCAUGAUUGCACCACUGCACUCCAGACUGGGCAACAGAACAAGACCCUGUCUCAGAAUUGUAUAUAUGUAUGUAUGUGUGUGUGUGUGUGUGUGUAUAGUAUAUAUAUAUAUAUGUAUGUGUAUGUAUGUGUGUAUAUGUAUGUGUAUAUAUGUAUGUGUGUAUAUAUGAGUGUGUGUGUGUGUGUGUGUCUCCAAUAAAUCUUGUUAAAGGUAAUGGGUAGCAAGAGUUAUCUCAAGUAAGUGUUUCCCGGUUUCACCAUUUUUCCCCCUUUUGAUCACAGUGUUAGAAACAGGGAAAUGGACUUAGGAUUAGCAUAGUGAGGAUCUGUGAGGGAACUUUGCAUGUACAUGUGAACAGUCUUUCCAUCCCCAGAUCUUUGGGACCUGUGUGAUGAGAGCGGAACACGUUGGUCUAAGUUUUCUGUGACUUGAGUAUCAUUCUGCUAUUAACUCCCUAGGAGUAUUUUAUGCUUUCUUGUGGUCCCCAAUCAAUCUGUAAGUUAAGUGAGUUAAGAAAGUUAAAACCAGUUUUCUUUUGACUCUUUUAGCGAAACCUUGAAAGCCAUUUGAUGUCCCCUGCUGAGAUUCCAGGCCAGCCUGUCCCUAAGAACAUCCUGCAGGAACUUCUGGGUCAACCAGUUCAGAGACCUGCUUCUUCCAAUCUUCUGAGUGGCCUUAUGGGGAGCUUGGAGCCUACAACAUCUUUACUGGGCCAAAGAGCACCCUCUCCUCCCUUGUCACAGGUGUUUCAAACUCGAGCAGCCUCAGCUGACUACCUUCGCCCAAGAAUACCAUCACCAAUUGGUUUCACACCAGGACCACAGCAGCUACUCGGAGAUCCAUUCCAAGGCAUGCGCAAACCCAUGAGCCCCAUCACGGCCCAGCAGAUGAGCCAGCUGGAGUUGCAACAGGCAGCUUUAGAAGGGCUGGCCUUGCCACAUGACCUUGCUGUACAGGCAGCAAACUUCUACCAGCCUGGUUUUGGCAAACCACAGGUGGACAGAACCAGAGAUGGAUUCAGAAACAGGCAACAGCGAGUGACCAAGUCACCAGCACCCGUGCAUCGAGGGAAUUCCUCUUCCCCUGCCCCUGCUGCCUCCAUCACAAGCAUGCUUUCUCCUUCCUUUACCCCUACCUCAGUGAUUCGUAAGAUGUACGAGAGCAAAGAGAAAAGCAAGGAGGAGCCAGCAUCUGGAAAAGCAGCUCUUGGUGACAGUAAAGAGGAUACUCAGAAGGCCAGUGAAGAAAACCUCCUGUCAUCCAGCUCUGUACCCAGUGCCGAUCGAGACUCUUCUCCCACUACAAAUUCCAAACUGUCAGCAUUACAGAGGUCUUCGUGUUCCACCCCACUGUCCCAGACCAACCGUUACACCAAAGAACAAGAUUAUCGACCUAAAGCAACUGGGAGAAAAACACCCACCUUGGCAUCCCCAGUUCCUACAACACCUUUUCUCCGCCCUGUCCACCAAGUUCCCCUUGUCCCCCAUGUCCCUAUGGUUAGGCCUGCUCACCAGCUUCACCCAGGGUUGGUACAGAGGAUGCUGGCCCAGGGAGUACAUCCACAGCAUCUUCCAAGUUUGCUCCAAACUGGUGUGCUUCCUCCUGGGAUGGACUUGAGUCAUUUACAGGGAAUAUCUGGCCCCAUCCUGGGUCAGCCCUUUUACCCUUUACCUGCUGCUAGUCACCCUCUCUUAAACCCUCGUCCUGGAACACCUCUGCAUCUGGCAAUGGUGCAACAGCAGCUACAGCGCUCAGUUCUGCAUCCUCCAGGCUCUGGUUCCCAUGCAGCAGCUGUCAGCGUUCAGACAACCCCUCAGAACGUGCCCAGCCGGUCAGGCCUGCCCCACAUGCACUCCCAGCUGGAGCAUCGCCCCAGCCAGAGGAGCAGCUCCCCUGUGGGCCUUGCCAAAUGGUUUGGCUCAGAUGUGCUACAGCAACCCCUGCCCUCCAUGCCCGCCAAAGUUAUCAGUGUAGAUGAAUUGGAAUACCGACAGUGAGCAGGGCAGGCAGACUCAACUAAGCCCGGACCUGUGGUGGCACACUGGGCAGGACCCUGCUUCAUCUCGGGUUGGUUUAUGGGCUUUUACUUUGGAGCACUCUGUGUGAAGCUGUUUGGUGGAACCCAUGCAUCUGGUGUGGUCCGCGUUAUGAUGGGAGGAUCUUAACCAGUCGAGUGGAGUGUACAUUGUCUGAAUACAGGAUGCACAAUGUUGUCAAUCCUGGAAAUGGUCUUUCUUUUUUGUAAGAUAUGUGAAUGAAGUGUUGGUGUCCUCACCAAGAGGUGGCACCUAAGGGUUCUGAGGAAAUAAAUGUAUAGACCCUUAUGUACAGACCUGUGUAUAAACAACUUUUGUAUAUACAUAUAGGAUAGCUUUUUUGAACUUAUACAGCUGUACAUAAAAGUAGCUGAUAUUAGUUAGGCCUGUGUCAACAGUUUGGAUUUUUUUCACUUGUACAUUUGGGAUUUUCUUUUGGUUGAUUAAAAUUGCAUAUGCUAAGUGUGUGAAUGAAGU
RNAcentral lists this small RNA (2823 nucleotides) under Pan troglodytes (chimpanzee). RNAcentral describes it as "retained intron". Lineage: Eukaryota; Metazoa; Chordata; Mammalia; Primates; Hominidae. The record is from RNAcentral.